CAGAGAGUAGUUAAACUUAGAAUCCUAGCUUUGGGAGUUAGGGGUGGGAGUUAAAAUCUCCCCUCUUUGG
This 70-nucleotide transfer RNA is filed under the name Narcetes shonanmaruae. RNAcentral's name for it is "Alepocephalidae sp. MK-2017 tRNA-Pro". It matches the Rfam family "tRNA". From Rfam's summary of the family: Transfer RNA (tRNA) molecules are approximately 80 nucleotides in length. Their secondary structure includes four short double-helical elements and three loops (D, anti-codon, and T loops). Further hydrogen bonds mediate the characteristic L-shaped molecular structure. tRNAs have two regions of fundamental functional importance: the anti-codon, which is responsible for specific mRNA codon recognition, and the 3' end, to which the tRNAs corresponding amino acid is attached (by aminoacyl-tRNA synthetases). tRNAs cope with the degeneracy of the genetic code in two manners: having more than one tRNA (with a specific anti-codon) for a particular amino acid; and 'wobble' base-pairing, i.e. permitting non-standard base-pairing at the 3rd anti-codon position. The record is from RNAcentral. Lineage: Eukaryota; Metazoa; Chordata; Actinopteri; Alepocephaliformes; Alepocephalidae.